Sceloporus undulatus (fence lizard) is the source of this 227-nucleotide long non-coding RNA. RefSeq lists it as uncharacterized. The record is from RefSeq and is a predicted model, not a curated record. Lineage: Eukaryota; Metazoa; Chordata; Lepidosauria; Squamata; Phrynosomatidae. The transcript has 3 exons.
AAAUCUUCUAGAACAUGGCCACAUAGCCUGAAAAACCCACAAAAAACCAUGGAUGCCGGCCAAGAAAGCCUUCCACUUCACAUCAAAACAGACUGGCAGACCAUGUGGAUUCUGGGAAUGAAAAAGCAAUCCAUGCAGUGUUGUACGCCACCUUGGAUCACAUAUCAGGAGAAAGGAAUAUGCAGGGUAUGCUAACAAGACCAGAGCAUUAAAAGUGCAUAACCCAG